AACGAACGCUGGCGGCAUGCCUAACACAUGCAAGUCGAACGAGACCUUCGGGUCUAGUGGCGCACGGGUGCGUAACGCGUGGGAACCUGCCCUUAGGUUCGGAAUAACUCCCCGAAAGGGGUGCUAAUACCGGAUAAUGUCUUCGGACCAAAGAUUUAUCGCCUUUGGAUGGGCCCGCGUUGGAUUAGCUAGUUGGUAGGGUAAAAGCCUACCAAGGCGACGAUCCAUAGCUGGUCUGAGAGGAUGAUCAGCCACACUGGGACUGAGACACGGCCCAGACUCCGACGGGAGGUAGCAGUGGGGAAUAUUGGACAAUGGGCGAAAGCCUGAUCCAGCAAUGCCGCGUGAGUGAUGAAGGCCUUAGGGUGGUAAAGCUCUUUUACCCGGGAUGAUAAUGACAGUACCGGGAGAAUAAGCUCCGGCUAACUCCGU
This 432-nucleotide ribosomal RNA is filed under the name uncultured bacterium. RNAcentral describes it as "partial 16S ribosomal RNA". It matches the Rfam family "Bacterial small subunit ribosomal RNA", at positions 29 to 506 of the family's 1533-position model. The record is from RNAcentral.